RNAcentral lists this ribosomal RNA (253 nucleotides) under uncultured bacterium. RNAcentral's name for it is "partial 16S ribosomal RNA". It matches the Rfam family "Bacterial small subunit ribosomal RNA", at positions 524 to 776 of the family's 1533-position model. The record is from RNAcentral.
UACGUAGGUGGCAAGCGUUGUCCGGAAUUAUUGGGCGUAAAGCGCGCGCAGGCGGUUUCUUAAGUCUGAUGUGAAAGCCCACGGCUCAACCGUGGAGGGUCAUUGGAAACUGGGGAACUUGAGUGCAGAAGAGGAAAGUGGAAUUCCACGUGUAGCGGUGAAAUGCGUAGAGAUGUGGAGGAACACCAGUGGCGAAGGCGACUUUCUGGUCUGUAACUGACGCUGAGGCGCGAAAGCGUGGGGAGCAAACAGG